ACCCAGACUCCUACGGGAGGCAGCAGUGAGGAAUAUUGGUCAAUGGCUGGAAGGCUGAACCAGCCAAGCCGCGUGAAGGACGAAGGUGCCAAGCAUUGUAAACUUCUUUUGUCAAGGGACAAAAUCAGGCUCGAGAGCCUGACCGAGGGUACUUGAAGAAAAAGCAUCGGCUAACUCCGUGCCAGCAGCCGCGGUAAUACGGAGGAUGCGAGCGUUAUCCGGAUUUAUUGGGUUUAAAGGGUGCGUAGGUUGUUUUUAAAGUCAGCGGUGAAAGUUUGUGGCUCAACCAUAAAAGUGCCGUUGAAACUGGAAGACUUGAGUGUGUUUGAGGUAGGCGGAAUGCGUGGUGUAGCGGUGAAAUGCAUAGAUAUCACGCAGAACUCCGAUUGCGAAGGCAGCUUACUAAGCCAUAACUGACACUGAAGCACGAAAGCGUGGGGAUCAAACAGGAUUAGAUACCCGGGUA
RNAcentral lists this ribosomal RNA (466 nucleotides) under uncultured bacterium. Its description in RNAcentral is "partial 16S ribosomal RNA". It matches the Rfam family "Bacterial small subunit ribosomal RNA", at positions 329 to 792 of the family's 1533-position model. The record is from RNAcentral.